AUGGAUCUGAACAUUUUCUAUGUGACGUUGCUUGGUUACUGUGACUACAUUUUCUGUUCAAGCAUGGCUGCUGACCAAUUUUGCAAGGAUACUAAUGUCCAAGAAAAGGGUUGUUAUGCUGAAUGCAAUAGUACAGUGCUUCGUAUGAUAAUUAUAGUUCCUGAAUUUUUGCUCGCCGUACUGAUCAGCAGUGGCACCAGUUUUGCAUUAGAUUGUGGUGAAAUUCAAGCAGCCUUGUUGGCUAAUGGUGUUGCUAUCAUAUCAUUCGUUUGGCGACAUGACAAACUUGCAAGCACACAUGAUGUCUGUCAGGGGCCUGGUAUUUCUACCCUUCAGGCGACAUGGGAUCCGGGAGGUUUGACACAAUAUCAGUUUGUGGACAAGGCUGAAGAUCGGGUUCAGGAAGUUAUGCGAACUCCAUGGGAUUCUGGUGGCACUCUGCAACAUCGACUUGGGGGCAAGUCGAAUCUUAUGGGGGAGGGAUUGUCAGCGACCCGUGUUGGGCUGGACAGUGGGCCAUCACCUUGGGCCUGGCCUGCCCUGGCAUUAGCAAGGAGAAGUCCUACAAAUAGCAGGAAGAAGGAAACAGAAAGGCGGCUUGGACGGAUGGGCUUCGGCCUUGGCUUGGCAAGGCAUGCUAAUUCCUCUCUCCUGUAG
RNAcentral lists this ribosomal RNA (657 nucleotides) under Triticum aestivum (bread wheat). Its description in RNAcentral is "partial small subunit ribosomal RNA". The record is from RNAcentral. Lineage: Eukaryota; Viridiplantae; Streptophyta; Magnoliopsida; Poales; Poaceae.